Molecule: non-coding RNA, 72 nt
Organism: Phrynosoma platyrhinos (Desert horned lizard)
Lineage: Eukaryota; Metazoa; Chordata; Lepidosauria; Squamata; Phrynosomatidae
Source: the annotation of a GenBank genome assembly
GCUGGCAUGGUGUAGUGGUUUGAGUGUUGGGCUACAACUCUGGAGAUGAGGGUUCAAUUCCCCGUUUGAGCA